AAGUCGUAACAAGGUUUCCGUAGGUGAACCUGCGGAAGGAUCAUUAACGAGUUUUGAAACGAGUUGUAGCUGGCCUUCCGAGGCAUGUGCACGCUCUGCUCAUCCACUCUACCCCUGUGCACUUACUGUAGGUUGGUGUGGGCUCCUUAACGGGAGCAUUCUGCCGGCCUAUGUAUACUACAAACACUUUAAAGUAUGAGAAUGUAAACGCGUCUAACGCAUCUAUAAUACAACUUUUAGCAACGGAUCUCUUGGCUCUC
This 260-nucleotide unclassified non-coding RNA is filed under the name Trametes versicolor. RNAcentral describes it as "partial internal transcribed spacer region". The stretch from base 1 to 46 matches the Rfam family "Eukaryotic small subunit ribosomal RNA", at positions 1786 to 1831 of the family's 1831-position model. The record is from RNAcentral. Lineage: Eukaryota; Fungi; Basidiomycota; Agaricomycetes; Polyporales; Polyporaceae.